AAACAGCUUAGGAUAUAGGCUGAUGACAGUAUGAAAGCUGUUUGGAGCUGUAAAUACGGAUUUUUUCCUCACUGCUUUUCCCCCGUUUACAUGCGUAUUGAUCUUGAUGAGAAAGCUCACUCAGAGAAGUAGUCAAGAAAGCAAUAUAUUGAAAAUAAAGCCAUGUAUGUAGCAAGGAAGGUAUUCAAGGUGCCCACUUUGAUGACUUGUACUCGUGCCUUUGAUCCCCACUGUAGAAAAUGCUCUGCUCCAUUUCAAAAGAGAUUGCCUUGUGCCCCAUUUGUUGGCCUUUGGAUCAAACCAGCAACAGACCUCACAGAUAGAAUUCCACCAUUAGCCAUUCACAAAGAGGGCCUUAUAAUGUUUCUCAGAGUUUUUUGA
Long non-coding RNA from Vulpes vulpes (red fox), 381 nucleotides. Lineage: Eukaryota; Metazoa; Chordata; Mammalia; Carnivora; Canidae. The record is from Ensembl.